Molecule: microRNA, 22 nt
Filed under: Spodoptera frugiperda (fall armyworm)
Lineage: Eukaryota; Metazoa; Arthropoda; Insecta; Lepidoptera; Noctuidae
Description: sfr-miR-10498-3p
Source: miRBase by way of RNAcentral
CUGUUUUGGACAUUGGUGUAAG